GACGAACGCUGGCGGCGUGCUUAACACAUGCAAGUCGAGCGGGGAUAAAUCCUUCGGGGUUUAUUCUAGCGGCGGACGGGUGAGUAACGCGUGAGCAAUCUGUCCUACACAGGGGGGAUAACAGAUGGAAACAUCUGCUAAUACCGCAUAAGACCACGACACCACAUGGUGAUGGGGUAAAAGAUUUAUCGGUGUAGGGUGAGCUCGCGUCCGAUUAGCUAGUUGGUGAGGUAACGGCCCACCAAGGCAACGAUCGGUAGCCGACCUGAGAGGGUGAUCGGCCACAUUGGAACUGAGACACGGUCCAA
This 308-nucleotide ribosomal RNA is filed under the name uncultured bacterium. Its description in RNAcentral is "bacterial SSU rRNA". It matches the Rfam family "Bacterial small subunit ribosomal RNA", at positions 28 to 334 of the family's 1533-position model. The record is from RNAcentral.